UGGAAGCAUUUUUAGCAUACAACAACAUCCAAGUGGAUUACGAUGAAUGCCUAGACCUCUAUGGCAAACAGUCUCUUCGUGGCCUGUGCUGAGGACUACAUCAGUCUCCUGCAAUUAUCAUCUACACUGAAAAACAAAGAGGACAGAGGCAAAGCUAGUGGCCCUCACCAUCCCCUGCAAGCUGAUUGCUUCUUACUGCAAGCACUUGAGCAUCUUCCUGAGAGCUUUCUUGGGCAAUGGGAACCAGGCUUGGCCCAUUCACAGGCAGGUGAGAAGUAUGAGGAAAUGGAGAAGGCAUUGUCCAAGGAGCAGUCUUCAACCUUCGCCCCGCAAGUGAGACAACUCUGAAUAAGAUGUGUUCUACACUCUCUUCCAAAGGUCCCCAGUUGGAUGGAGCUCUAGCUGCUCAUGUGAUAAGCUGCCUAUUAAUACACAAAAGAUUGCCUUUCCUCCUUGCUCUGUCUUCCUGCUGCUCUCCUACUAAUGUUUCCU
This 492-nucleotide long non-coding RNA is filed under the name Pan troglodytes (chimpanzee). RNAcentral's name for it is "lincRNA". The record is from RNAcentral. Lineage: Eukaryota; Metazoa; Chordata; Mammalia; Primates; Hominidae.